GUGCAGGAUGCAACUAUGCAUUAAAACAUACUGUCAUAUUUUUCGAAAUUUUCUCAAAAUCCAUGUGUUAACCCCUUUGAAAAUAUUGAGUUUUUGGUAAAUACUUUAUAUACUUAAAGCCUAUAAUCUUUAGUGUUGUUUUAAAAUUUCUAACCACAUUCAACAUUUGUAUUAAUAUAUUUCAAGUUCUUUUUCAUGGUAUAUAAGAAUCGUUAUAAUUUUUUUAUCAAUUAAUCUAGUAAAACUUCAUAAUACUCCCUAAAUCGAUGGAAUAACCACUAUAAAAUAAUAAUUUUCUCGAAAAACGGAGACAACAAAGGCUCCAAAACUCUUUGAACAUCAUCAUAUUUUUGUGCAGGAUACAACUAUGCAUUAA
RNAcentral lists this long non-coding RNA (376 nucleotides) under Brassica napus (rape). RNAcentral describes it as "long non-coding RNA (BNAP_LNC001850)". The record is from RNAcentral. Lineage: Eukaryota; Viridiplantae; Streptophyta; Magnoliopsida; Brassicales; Brassicaceae.